This is a long non-coding RNA of Oncorhynchus tshawytscha (Chinook salmon), 3066 nucleotides long. The record is from Ensembl. Lineage: Eukaryota; Metazoa; Chordata; Actinopteri; Salmoniformes; Salmonidae.
CAGCUUUACAAAAAACAACACACAGAAGCUGAGAUGGUGUCGGUUUUAUUCAAUUCCACUGAGGCUGACUGGAGUUUGUACUGUAUGUGUAGUGGUGUGUGGGUAAAAUCACUAGGAAAGCACCCCCCACAAAAAGGCAGAUUUAAACCUGUGUUGUGAUAAUUGUGAUGUUUGCUCUAUAACAUAUAUACAUUAACCUUGAGACUGUGAUAUAUAAUCAUGGACGGAGACACAUUUAGAAAGAUCCUGUCGUACUGCAUUUUAUUAUUGUAUACAAAGAAAAACAAGACACGUGUAUAAAUGCAUUGCUUCAAAACUACUCUUAGUAGCCUCAGUAAGAAGACACUUAUCCACAGCAAAAUAUUACAACCCCUUUUUUAAAGAAACAUAGCAUUUGAAAUAAAUACGUUUGGAUGAUAACAUCUUGCUGAUUGCAUUGGGGGCAAUGCACUUUCACACUAUUUACACUUUAAAUCUGACUAAAUAAUCAUCACCGUCUCACAGACCCUCAGUGCUCACAGAAACUGUUGCCCUUUACAUUCAAACCUCAUCCCUUCAUCGUCACAUUCUAUUUUUAAAUGUGCUUUUGUCAAGGAACCAAAAGUGAAAACUACACAUUUUUCCCAUUACCAGAAUAUACAGUGUACUGUAUACUAUAUAAAGACAGGACAAUGUACCAGAUAUAACUUGGUGUCAAACAGAAGACAUGCAAGCACUCAAUAAAGUGAAGAAUAUGAAUGUGACCAACAUGUCCCUCUUGAAGGUGACAUAAAGUAGACUAUACAGGUUACAUAAAGUAGACUAUACAGGUUACAUAAAGUAGACGAUACAGGUUACAUAAAGUAGACUAUAGAGGUCACAUAAAGUAGACUAUAGAGGUCACAUAAAGUAGACUAUACAGGUUACAUAAAGUAGACUAUACAGGUUACAUAAAGUAGACGAUACAGGUUACAUAAAGUAGACUAUAGAGGUCACAUAAAGUAGACUAUAGAGGUCACAUAAAGUAGACUAUACAGGUUACAUAGAGUAGACUAUACAGGUUACAUAAAGUAGACGAUACAGGUCACAUAAAGUAGACUAUACAGGUUACAUAAAGUAGACUAUACAGGUUACAUAAAGUAGACUAUACAGGUUACAUAAAGUAGACUAUACAGGCUACAUAGAGUAGACUAGACAGGUUACAUAAAGUAGACUAUACAGGUUACAUAAAGUAGACUACACAGGCUACAUAAAGUAGACUGUACAGGUUACAUAAAGUAGACGGUACAGGUUACAUAGAUUAGAUUAUACAGGUUACAUAAAGUAGACUAUACAGGUUACAUAAAGUAGACUAUACAGGUUACAUAAAGUAGACUAUACAGGUUACAUAGAGUAGACUAUACAGGUUACAUAAAGUAGACUAUACAGGUUACAUAAAGUAGACUAUACAGGUUACAUAGAGUAGACUAUACAGGUUACAUAAAGUAGACUAUACAGGUUACAUAAAGUAGACUAUACAGGUUACAUAGAGUAGACUAUACAGGUUACAUAAAGUAGACUAUACAGGUUACAUAAAGUAGACUAUACAGGUUACAUAAAGUAGACUGUACAGGUUACAUAAAGUAGACUAUACAGGUUACAUAAAGUAGACUGUACAGGUUACAUAAAGUAGACUAUACAGGUUACAUAAAGUAGACUGUACAGGUUACAUAAAGUAGACUAUACAGGUUACAUAAAGUAGACUAUACAGGUUACAUAAAGUAGACUAUACAGGUUACAUAAAGUAGACUAUACAGGUUACAUAAAGUAGACUAUACAGGUUACAUAAAGUAGACUAUACAGGUUACAUAAAGUAGACUAUACAGGCUACAUAAAGUAGACUGUACAGGUUACAUAAAGUAGACUAUACAGGUUACAUAGAGUAGACUAUACAGGUUACAUAGAGUAGACUAUACAGGUUACAUAAAGUAGACUAUACAGGUUACAUAAAGUAGACUAUACAGGUUACAUAAAGUAGACUAUGCAGGUUAUUUACCAGGAUUUGGAGUGUAGAUGAGUAGAUCUGUCAGGUGUGUUAGACAGUAGAGGGGUGUCACUACAUUCCUCAGUGUUUGUUUAUACUGUAAGCUUAUGGUGUCUGUCAGGAACGCCACACCAGACACACCCUUACGUAUUCUCUUGGCAGUUAGUCACGUUGUAAAAUCUGUGUCCUUGGUAACUCAAAGCAGAAUGAGAAAAAAACAACACAGUUAUUGGCGGCUUGAAAAAAUGUAUGUGUUGCGUAAGUUGUUUUCUAUGUCAGCUGAAUGCACCUUUAAGUUCAUUGAACCAUGGUUAUGUGAGUGUGAAUUUACGUUGUACGUAAAUUCCCCAUAUUAAUUCCCCUCCCCAUAUUUAAGUCAUUUAAUGGACAACAACACUUAGGCUUCUACUUACAACACUUAGGUUCCAGCUUAUACAUACUAUAUACAUACACAGUAUAUUUGACAAUCUUGUUCUAUUUGACAUAUAUUUAUCAACUGUGCUGUGAUGUUUCACAAAAGUUCCGAACCAAAAGUCAUACACCCAAUGUUUAUUUAGGUAUAUGUGGGUCUUUUAACAACAUCGGUCAUGCAUCUUGUUGACAUUCAUCCAAGGACAUCUCAACUUCAUUACAAAUCCUCAACAACAACAAAAAAUCCCGUGACUUGUACUUAGAGAGACCAUUCCUUUAAACGCAUCCUGAUACAAACAGGAAACAAGUUGUGGACGAACCAGAAACAUUUUACGAAGUGCAUCACCUUCCUCACUUUCCCCUCCUCUCAUCUCUCCCAUCCUUGUUAUUGUCUCACAAAUCCCUCCUGUCUCUCUUAUCACCCCUCUUGUGUCUCUAUGACCCCACUUGUCUCUCUAUCACCCCUUCUGGCUCCCCUAUCUCCCCUGCUCUCCCUCAUAUCACCCCUCAUGUACAUCCUAUCUCCUCUCCUGUCCCUCCUAUCACCCUUCCUCUCCCUCCUAUCACCAAUACUGUCUCUCCUAUCACCCCUCCUGUCCCUUCUAUCACCCUUCCUGUCCCUCCUAUCAAUCGUCCUAUCACCCCUCCUGUCC